This 272-nucleotide ribosomal RNA is filed under the name uncultured Acholeplasma sp. RNAcentral describes it as "partial 16S ribosomal RNA". It matches the Rfam family "Bacterial small subunit ribosomal RNA", at positions 1105 to 1381 of the family's 1533-position model. The record is from RNAcentral. Lineage: Bacteria; Bacillati; Mycoplasmatota; Mollicutes; Acholeplasmatales; Acholeplasmataceae.
UUAUUGCUAGUUACCAUCAUUAAGUUGGGGACUCUAGCGAGACUGCCAGUGAUAAACUGGAGGAAGUGGGGAUGACGUCAAAUCAUCAUGCCCUUAUGACCUGGGCUACAAACGUGAUACAAUGGCUGGAACAAAGGGAGGCGAAGGGGUGACCUGGAGCGAAACUCAAAAAACAGUCUCAGUUCGGAUUGAAGUCUGCAACUCGACUUCAUGAAGUCGGAAUCGCUAGUAAUCGCGGAUCAGAACGCCGCGGUGAAUACGUUCUCGGGUUU